UACGGAGGGUGCAAGCGUUAAUCGGAAUUACUGGGCGUAAAGCGCGCGUAGGCGGCAUAGCAAGUUGGAUGUGAAAUCCCUGGGCUUAACCUGGGAACUGCAUCCAAAACUGCUAAGCUAGAGUACAGAAGAGGUCAAUGGAAUUUCCAGUGUAGCGGUGAAAUGCGUAGAGAUUGGAAGGAACAUCAGUGGCGAAGGCG
This 200-nucleotide ribosomal RNA is filed under the name uncultured bacterium. Its description in RNAcentral is "partial 16S ribosomal RNA". It matches the Rfam family "Bacterial small subunit ribosomal RNA", at positions 524 to 723 of the family's 1533-position model. The record is from RNAcentral.